CCCCUAGAUGUUCUGGGCCGCACGCGCGCUACACUGAACAGUUCAACAAGUCUUAACCUUGGCCGAUAGGUCUGGGUAAUCUUUGAACGCUGUUCGUGAUUGGGAUAGACCUUUGCAAUUAUGGGUCUUCAACGAGGAAUUCCUAGUAAACGCAAGUCACCAGCUUGCAUUGAUUACGUCCCUGCCCUUUGUACACACCGCCCGUCGCACCUACCGAUUGAAUGGUCCGGUGAAAUCUCGGGACGGCGGCUUGGUCGCUUGCGUCCGACUGCUGAAACUUGAUUAAACCAUAUCAUUUAGAGGAAGGAGAAGUCGUAACA
RNAcentral lists this ribosomal RNA (320 nucleotides) under uncultured eukaryote. RNAcentral's name for it is "partial 18S ribosomal RNA". It matches the Rfam family "Eukaryotic small subunit ribosomal RNA", at positions 1470 to 1796 of the family's 1831-position model. The record is from RNAcentral.